UAUUGCACAAUCCCCGGCCUGU
This 22-nucleotide microRNA is filed under the name Glossina pallidipes. RNAcentral's name for it is "Gpa-Mir-92-o62_3p (mature (guide))". Lineage: Eukaryota; Metazoa; Arthropoda; Insecta; Diptera; Glossinidae. The record is from RNAcentral. RNAcentral also lists the same sequence under 2 other names.